RNAcentral lists this ribosomal RNA (468 nucleotides) under uncultured bacterium. RNAcentral's name for it is "partial 16S ribosomal RNA". It matches the Rfam family "Bacterial small subunit ribosomal RNA", at positions 28 to 507 of the family's 1533-position model. The record is from RNAcentral.
GAUGAACGCUGGCGGCGUGCCUAACACAUGCAAGUCGAACGGUGAAGCUCCAGCUUGCUGGAGUGGAUCAGUGGCGAACGGGUGAGUAACACGUGAGCAACCUGCCCCUGACUCUGGAAUAAGCGCUGGAAACGGCGUCUAAUACUGGAUACGAGAAGGGUCCGCAUGGGCACUUUCUGGAAAGUUUUUCGGUUGGGGAUGGGCUCGCGGCCUAUCAGCUUGUUGGUGAGGUAAUGGCUCACCAAGGCGACGACGGGUAGCCGGCCUGAGAGGGCGACCGGCCACACUGGGACUGAGACACGGCCCAGACUCCUACGGGAGGCAGCAGUGGGGAAUAUUGCACAAUGGGCGAAAGCCUGAUGCAGCGACGCCGCGUGAGGGAUGACGGCCUUCGGGUUGUAAACCUCUUUCAGCAGGGAAGAAGCGAAAGUGACGGUACCUGCAGAAGAAGCACCGGCUAACUACGUG